Molecule: ribosomal RNA, 381 nt
Filed under: uncultured eukaryote
Lineage: Eukaryota
Description: partial 18S ribosomal RNA
Rfam family: Eukaryotic small subunit ribosomal RNA
Source: RNAcentral
CAAUAGCGUAUAUUAAAGCUGUUGCGGUUAAAAAGCUCGUAGUUGGAUUUCUGUCAAGGACAACUGGUCCGCCCUCCGGGUGAGCACCUAGUUUGGUCUUGGCAUCUUGCUGGAAACUGUUGCUGCGCUUGGUUGUGUGGUGCAGCUUUCAGCACUUUCACUUUGAGGAAAUUGGAGUGUUUCAAGCAGGCACAUGCCUUUGGACACAGUAGCAUGGAAUAAUUAGAUUGGGCUUUUGCUCCAACUUGUUGGUUCCUGGAGCUGAGGUGAGAAUCAAUGGGGAUUGUUGGGGGCAUCCGAAUUUAGCCGUCAGAGGUGAAAUUCUUGGAUCUGCUAAAGACGGACAACUGCGAAAGCGUUUGCCCAGGAUGUUUUCAUUGA